This 459-nucleotide ribosomal RNA is filed under the name uncultured bacterium. Its description in RNAcentral is "partial 16S ribosomal RNA". It matches the Rfam family "Bacterial small subunit ribosomal RNA", at positions 338 to 795 of the family's 1533-position model. The record is from RNAcentral.
CCUACGGGUGGCAGCAGUGAGGAAUAUUGGUCAAUGGGAGAGAUCCUGAACCAGCCAAGCCGCGUGAGGGAAGACGGCCCUAUGGGUUGUAAACCUCUUUUGUCGGGGAACAAAACCCGGGACGUGUCCCGGACUGCGUGUAUCCGAAGAAAACGCAUCGGCUAACUCCGUGCCAGCAGCCGCGGUAAUAGGGAGGAUGCGAGCGUUAUCCGGUUUUAUGGGGUUUAAAGGGUGCGUAGGCGGUCCGUUAAGUCAGCGGUAAAAUUGCGGGGCUCAACCCCGUCGAGCCGUUGAAACUGGCAGACUUGAGUGGGCGAGAAGUAUGCGGAAUGCGUGGUGUAGCGGUGAAAUGCAUAGAUAUCACGAAGAACGCCGAUGGCGAAGGCAGCAUACCGGCGCUCAACUGACGCUGAGGCACGAAAGUGUGGGUAGCGAACAGGAUUAGAUACCCGAGUAGUC